UAAGCUUCAUUGUCGAGAGGGAAACAGCCCAGAUCACUAUUUAAGGCCCCUAAAUAUUUACUAAGUGAUAAAGGAUGUAAUAUUACAUAGACAACCAGGAGGUUUGCUUAGAAGCAGCAAUUCCUUUAAAAAGUGCGUAAUAGCUUACUGGUCAAGUGAUUUUGCGCCGAAAAUGAAUGGGACUAAGUAAUUUGCCGAAGAUGUGAGUAUUAAUCAGUAGAAGAGCGUUCUGUUUUGUUUGAAGCAAUAGCGAAAGCAGUUGUGGACUAUGCAGAAGUGAGAAUGUCGGCUUAAGUAACGAAAACAUUGGUGGAAAUCCAAUGCCCCGUAAAUCUAAGGUUUCCUUCGCCAGGUUCGUCCACGAAGGGUUAGUCAGGUCCUAAAAUGAGGUUUAACAACGUAGUUGAUGGUUAACAGGUUAAUAUUCCUGUACCGUUUUUCAUUUUAUUAAGAGUGACGAAAAAGGCUAAGUUAGCCAAACAUUGGUUGUUUUGGUUUAAUAUCUCGAUGUGUAGAUAAAUUUUAUCAAAAAAUAUUUUGAGCAAAGGGUAGAAUACGAGAGAUACUACGGUAUUGCAAGUAACUUAUGUCAUGUUUCCUAGAAAAACUUUUGUAGUAAUAAAUGGAUUAUGCCUGUACCGUAAACUGACACAGGUAGAUUAGUAGAGAAUACUAAGGGGCGCGAGAUAACUGUCUCUAAGGAACUCGGCAAAAUAACUCCGUAACUUAGGAAGAAGGAGUGCCUCAUUUAAUGAGGUCGCAGUGAGCAGGCCCAAGCGACUGUUUACCAAAAACACAGGUCUCCGCUAAGUUGAAAAACGAUGUAUGGGGGCUGACGCCUGCCCAGUGCCGGAAGGUUAAAGAAGUUGGUUAGCGUAAGCGAAGCUAGCGACUGAAGCCCUGGUGAACGGCGGCCGUAACUAUAACGGUCCUAAGGUAGCGAAAUUCCUUGUCGGGUAAGUUCCGACCCGCACGAAAGGCGUAACGAUUUGGGCGCUGUCUCGGAGACAGACUCGGUGAAAUAGAAUUGACUGUGAAGAUGCGGUCUACUCGCACUUGGACAGAAAGACCCUAUGAAGCUUUACUGUAACUUGAAAUUGAUUUUGGGCUUUUUUUGCGCAGCAUAGGUGGGAGGCUAUGAAUCUCUUUUUCGGAAGUUGAUGAGCCAUAAUAUGAGAUACCACUCUGAAAAAGUUAGAAAUCUAAUGACAUGAUAAUAUGUUUGACAUUUUCAAGUGGGCAGUUUUACUGGGGCGGUAGCCUCCUAAAAAGUAACGGAGGCGUACAAAGGUUUUCUCAGUCUGGACGGAAAUUAGUUGUAGAGUGUAAAGAUAUAAGAAAGCUUGACUGUGAGACCUAUAAGUCGAACAGAGACUAAAGUCGGUCUUAGUGACCCGACGGUUCUGAAUGGAAAGGCCGUCGUUCAACAGAUAAAAGUUACUCUAGGGAUAACAGGCUGAUCUCCCCCAAGAGUUCACAUCGACGGGGAGGUUUGGCACCUCGAUGUCGGCUCAUCGCAACCUGGGGCGGUAGUACGUCCCAAGGGUUGGGCUGUUCGCCCAUUAAAGCGGUACGUGAGCUGGGUUCAGAACGUCGAGAGACAGUUCGGUCCAUAUCCGGUGUGAGCGUUAGAGUAUUGAAAGGAUCUUUCCUUAGUACGAGAGGACCGGGAAGGACACACCACUGAUGUUCCAGUUUUUGUGCCAACAGAAAACGCUGGGUAGUCAAGUGUGGAGUGGAUAACUGC
This 1747-nucleotide ribosomal RNA is filed under the name Euglena deses. RNAcentral describes it as "LSU rRNA". It matches the Rfam family "Bacterial large subunit ribosomal RNA", at positions 999 to 2771 of the family's 2925-position model. Lineage: Eukaryota; Euglenozoa; Euglenophyceae; Euglenales; Euglenaceae. The record is from RNAcentral.